This is a long non-coding RNA of Serinus canaria (Common canary), 706 nucleotides long. RefSeq lists it as uncharacterized. Lineage: Eukaryota; Metazoa; Chordata; Aves; Passeriformes; Fringillidae. The record is from RefSeq and is a predicted model, not a curated record. The transcript is spliced from 3 exons.
GGGGAUGAGGUGCUGGGGAAGGUUCCUGGGGAGCGGGGAUGAGGUGUUGGGGGGUCCUGGGAGCGUGGGGGCAGCUGGAGCAGGGAUGAGGUGCUGGGGGGUCCUGGGGAGCGGGGAUGAGGUGCCCGGGAAAGUUCCUGCAGAGCAGGGAUGAGGUACCCAGGGUUCCUGGGGAGCGGGGAUGAGGCAUUGGGGGUUCCUGGGAGGGAUGGGUGAGGUACCCGGGGUUCCUGAGUAGUGGGGAUGAGGUACCCGGGGUUCCUGGGAGGGAUGGGGGGCAGCCCCUCUUCUCCCAGCACCUCUCUCCCGUACCUGAGUCAGAGUUUGGGGAUAUGGACGAGGUGUGGCCUCUGGGGGGGUUUCAGAGCUGGAUCUGGGCAUCCCAUCUGAGCCUCUGCCUGUAAAAGUGUCUUUCCCCUUUGCUCUCUUCCUCCUUUGUUAAUUCAGAGGUCUUGAGCAGUAAGGAUCAAAGCCUUUGCUCAAACUCUUUGCUGUAUAAACUUGAUAAAGCCCUUGCAUUACAGGGUUUAGGGCAUUUAUGUUGUACCCUUGAAUUCUUGUGCUCUUUAAUGGUCCAAUAUUUUACUGUGGUCUUGGGUGCCCUGUAGUUCUUUUUGGACUCUAAAUUCUGGGGAGUUUUCUUUGUUUCCCACAUAUAAUGGCUUUAAGUGAUUUUUAAGUUAACUUGUUUGUACUUACCCCACAA